UUGACAGCCAUAGAGACUGAAGCUUUCUGCUUAUCCACAGAUUAGGUACAGCUCAGACAGUGGCAGUGCAUGCUUCCCCACCUCUUGGGCUUCAAUCCUGAGACAUGGAGGGACCACCUGGAGAGAAAAGAGGCUAGUUCAGGUUAGUCCAUGUUCUGUUCCAGGCAUAA
Molecule: small RNA, 170 nt
Filed under: Sphenodon punctatus (tuatara)
Lineage: Eukaryota; Metazoa; Chordata; Lepidosauria; Sphenodontia; Sphenodontidae
Description: TUC338 (ENSSPUG00000013012.1)
Source: RNAcentral